UCCCAGACUCCUACGGGAGGCAGCAGUGGGGAAUAUUGCACAAUGGGGGAAACCCUGAUGCAGCGACGCCGCGUGAGUGAAGAAGUAUUUCGGUAUGUAAAGCCCUAUCGGCAGGGAAGAAGGAGGACGGUACCUGACUAAGAAGCCCCGGCUAACUACGUGCCAGCAGCCGCGGUAAUACGUAGGGGGCAAGCGUUGUCCGGAUUUACUGGGUGUAAAGGGUGCGUAGGCGGCCCUGCAAGUCAGAAGUGGAAUCCAUGGGCUUAACCCGUGAACUGCUUUUGAAACUGUAGGGCUUGAGUGAAGUAGAGGCAGGCGGAAUUCCCGGUGUAGCGGUGAAAUGCGUAGAGAUCGGGAGGAACACCAGUGGCGAAGGCGGCCUGCUGGACGACAACUGACGGUGAGGCGCGAAAGCGUGGGGAGCAAACAGGAUUAGAUACCCUAGUA
This 447-nucleotide ribosomal RNA is filed under the name uncultured bacterium. RNAcentral's name for it is "bacterial SSU rRNA". It matches the Rfam family "Bacterial small subunit ribosomal RNA", at positions 329 to 792 of the family's 1533-position model. The record is from RNAcentral.